UAUUGCGCAAUGGGCGAAAGCCUGACGCAGCGACGCCGCGUGAGGGAUGAAGGUCUUCGGAUCGUAAACCUCUGUCAGCAGGGAAGCAAGGUCACUGUGCUAAUCAGCAGUGACUUGACGGUACCUGCAAAGGAAGCCCCGGCUACCUCAGUGCACGCAGCCGCGGGAAUACGGAGGGUGCGAGCGUUAAUCGGAAUUACUGGGCGUAAAGCGCUCGUAGGCGGUAUGUCAAGUCAAGGGUGAAAUCCCCGCGCUCAACGUGGGAACUGCCUUUGAAACUGGCAAACUGGAGUGUGUGAGAGGAUAGUGGAAUUCCAGGUGUAGGAGUGAAAUCCGUAGAUAUCUGGAGGAACAUCAGUGGCGAAGGCGACUAUCUGGCACAUAACUGACGCUGAGGAGCGAAAGCGUGGGUAGCAAACAGG
RNAcentral lists this ribosomal RNA (422 nucleotides) under uncultured bacterium. RNAcentral describes it as "bacterial SSU rRNA". It matches the Rfam family "Bacterial small subunit ribosomal RNA", at positions 362 to 776 of the family's 1533-position model. The record is from RNAcentral.